RNAcentral lists this transfer RNA (64 nucleotides) under Euhamitermes sp. A TB-2017. RNAcentral describes it as "tRNA-Glu". It matches the Rfam family "tRNA". Rfam says of the family: Transfer RNA (tRNA) molecules are approximately 80 nucleotides in length. Their secondary structure includes four short double-helical elements and three loops (D, anti-codon, and T loops). The record is from RNAcentral. Lineage: Eukaryota; Metazoa; Arthropoda; Insecta; Blattodea; Termitidae.
AUUUAUAUAGUUUAGGAAAACAUUACAUUUUCACUGUAAAGACAAAGUAGAACUUUUAUAAGUA